This is a non-coding RNA of Heterocephalus glaber (naked mole-rat), 2173 nucleotides long. The record is from RefSeq and is a predicted model, not a curated record. NCBI's taxonomy places the organism in Eukaryota, Metazoa, Chordata, Mammalia, Rodentia, Bathyergidae.
CUAUGCAGGGCACGUGGCAGGCAGGCCCAGUGUCCUCUGAGCGUCACUUUCAAACCUGAGGCACAGCCAUUGGUCACCAAGCCCCUGGCAGGAAGGUUGUGUGCCUGAGGAGGACGAAGUUUUGUCGCCAGUCGAAGGGACAGCAAGGAGGAAAGGGAACCUCAAGCUGACAUGCCCUGCUGUGUCAAUCCCACAUCUGCGCCAGGACACAGAGUGGUCCCGGACCCCAGGCCUGCCCCAGAGAGACCUCGUGCAUGUGAUACAACCUUUGGAGGUGGCACUCAGGGCUAAGGGAGGGGUCGCUGUGGCUCCUGAGUGACAUGGCUGGGCAGCAGGCCUGCAUGCUCCCGGGAUAAGACAGCAUGGUACCUUACCCUGGUUCCAGGCAUGGCAUAGCAGGGAAUUCCAGGGCUCAUGGGUCCCAGGGCUGCCGGAACUGGAGUGGACAGGAUUUGGAUCUCCUUCCAGAACAAUCCAGGAGACUUCAAGCACAGCCGUGUGACCUGGAGGCAGGUCCUAGGGAGCGACUCUCUGGGGCCUCCCCAGGUCCUCCCCACCUUGGCCCCUCUCCCUUUUCCCUCCCUGGAAUGUUCUGCUCUGGGGUGCAGGCUGGGGUCAGUCUCUGUGCCCAUGUUUGGUGACAGCUGCCUAGCACCUUCUGUCUGUUGCAAGUUGGCUUCCUUGAGCCCUCCCAGCCCAGGCUAAGGACAGUGACUUGAGCAUGAAGUAAAUGAUCCCCCCCUGGCAUUCACCUCAAGCUCCUGUGACCUGCCACCACCCACAGCCCUAGAACAGAGGAGCAGAGAUCUUGGUGUAAGCGCCCAGCCUGUCAUGAACCAGCUAGCUCUUUCCCCUCGGAGAAAGGACACAGGGAAGCAUUUGUCAUACUUGGACAGGGAAGUGAUAUUUUGAAUAGAUAUCUUUCUUCCAGUAUGAAAAUCCAAAUUCCACUUUCUCUUUGGAGAAGGUCUCUGUCCCCUCACCUUGUAACCCACCACGUGCCUCCUCCAGCUAUCACUGAUUGUGCCCCAGUGGCUCCAGGACCCGGCAGGGUGAGCAACAGCCUUCAGUCUGGGUCAAGAGGGGAGGGAGCUGAGCGGCAGCUGCACGGACAACAAGGGCUGAGGUUGGACCAGAUGCCACAGCUUGAGGAGUGGGGAGAGGGGUACGGUGCUAUGGACUGAAUGCUAUGUCCCCCCAAACUUGUAUAUUGACACUGACGGCCCUAAUGCCUUUGUAAAAGGGAUCCCAGAGAGCUGCCUUUUCCCUUUGCCAUGUGAGGACAUGAAGAGAAGUCUGCAGUCUGCAUCCCAGAAGAGGGUCCUCGACAGGACUGGUCAGACUGGCAUAGGACCGUGGACUUCCUGCUCCAAAGCUGUAAGCAAUGCUUGUCUGCUGGUUUUAGGUCCCAAGCAGGGGCAGUUUUGUCACAGCAGUCUGAGCUAAGACAGAGGGAGGACAGAGGAAGGUGGACAAAGACAGAAACCCCUCUCUCCAUCUUCAGCUUUACCAGAGAAGCUGUCAGGAUGCCAAGGAGAGGAAGGAGGCCCAGCAUGGGGAGCCACAGGGGACACCUGAGUCAGAAGUACAGCAGGCCACCAGUUGCCCAAGGAGGGCAUCUAGGGUGGCACAGAGCUAGCACCAGGGGCCGCAGGACCCAUGACCUGCCAUCCCCCUUUACAGCGCUCCAUCUGUGCCGGGAGAACACCGAGCUCUCAGUGUCUCAGUGCCCCAGCAUGGAAGCAGUCGCACAGCCGUCUGUGGACGGUCACCCAGCACCGCCAAGGACAGGUUGUUGGUACCUGCAAUGCCCAAAAUGGCGAUGGCGACUCUUGAAGGGUAUAUAUUGUGUGAUUCUGUUCAUGUGAAUGUCUAGAACAUGCUGCCUGCCCUGAAGUAACAGCAGCCGAGUGAUGGUGGCAGUGGGGUGGGGGUGGGAGGCAGCGUGGGCAGUGGGCGGAGCCACUUCGGGUGCAUCCAUCACCUUGACCUCGGGCUACAAAUGUCAACACCUAUAACACUGUACAACUUAAAGAUGUUCAGUUCAUCGUGCAUUGGUAACACCUCAAUAAAGUUCUUAAAGAAAUAUGUCGUGGUUGGGUAUAUUGGCCUAGGCCUGUAAUCCCAGCUGUCUGGGAGGCUGAGGCAGGAGGAUAGCAGACAGUAAGCCUGG